RNAcentral lists this transfer RNA (75 nucleotides) under bacterium (candidate division B38) B3_B38. RNAcentral describes it as "tRNA-Val". It matches the Rfam family "tRNA". Rfam says of the family: Transfer RNA (tRNA) molecules are approximately 80 nucleotides in length. The record is from RNAcentral. RNAcentral also lists the same sequence under 1 other name.
GGGCGAUUAGCUCAGGGGGAGAGCACUUCUUUCACACGGAAGGGGUCACUGGUUCAAAUCCAGUAUCGCCCACCA